This 25-nucleotide non-coding RNA is filed under the name Rattus norvegicus (Norway rat). Lineage: Eukaryota; Metazoa; Chordata; Mammalia; Rodentia; Muridae. The record is from RNAcentral.
AACCAAAGUGUCUUGGGAUCUGAUU